RNAcentral lists this ribosomal RNA (301 nucleotides) under uncultured bacterium. RNAcentral's name for it is "partial 16S ribosomal RNA". It matches the Rfam family "Bacterial small subunit ribosomal RNA", at positions 509 to 809 of the family's 1533-position model. The record is from RNAcentral.
CAGCAGCCGCGGUAAUACGUAGGUGGCAAGCGUUGUCCGGAAUUAUUGGGCGCAAAGGGCUCGCAGGCGGUUUCUUAAGUCUGAUGUGAAAGCCCCCGGCUCAACCGGGGAGGGUCAUUGGAAACUGGGAAACUUGAGUGCAGAAGAGGAGAGUGGAAUUCCACGUGUAGCGGUGAAAUGCGUAGAGAUGUGGAGGAACACCAGUGGCGAAGGCGACUCUCUGGUCUGUAACUGACGCUGAGGAGCGAAAGCGUGGGGAGCAAAUGGGAUUAGAUACCCCAGUAGUCCCUGUCUCUUAUAA